ACUCCCAACCCCUGUGACAUACCACUUGUUGCCUCGGCGGAUCAGCCCGCUCCCGGUAAAACGGGACGGCCCGCCAGAGGACCCCUAAACUCUGUUUCUAUAUGUAACUUCUGAGUAAAACCAUAAAUAAAUCAAAACUUUCAACAACGGAUCUCUUGGUUCUGGCAUCGAUGAAGAACGCAGCAAAAUGCGAUAAGUAAUGUGAAUUGCAGAAUUCAGUGAAUCAUCGAAUCUUUGAACGCACAUUGCGCCCGCCAGUAUUCUGGCGGGCAUGCCUGUUCGAGCGUCAUUUCAACCCUCAAGCACAGCUUGGUGUUGGGACUCGCGUUAAUUCGCGUUCCCCAAAUUGAUUGGCGGUCACGUCGAGCUUCCAUAGCGUAGUAGUAAAACCCUCGUUACUGGUAAUCGUCGCGGCCACGCCGUUAAACCCCAACUUCUGAAUGUUGACCUCGGAUCAGGUAGGAAUACCCGCUGAACUUAAGCAUAUCAAUAAGCGGGGGAAAAGAA
RNAcentral lists this ribosomal RNA (507 nucleotides) under Fusarium oxysporum. RNAcentral describes it as "eukaryotic LSU rRNA". The stretch from base 136 to 289 matches the Rfam family "5.8S ribosomal RNA". Lineage: Eukaryota; Fungi; Ascomycota; Sordariomycetes; Hypocreales; Nectriaceae. The record is from RNAcentral.